This 95-nucleotide microRNA precursor is filed under the name Pteropus vampyrus (large flying fox). RNAcentral describes it as "miRNA (ENSPVAG00000029724.1)". The record is from RNAcentral. Lineage: Eukaryota; Metazoa; Chordata; Mammalia; Chiroptera; Pteropodidae.
UCUUAGCUGAAUGUCCCGCGGGGCCCGAAGCGUUUACUUUGAAAAAAUUGAGAGUGUUCAAAGCAGGCCAGAGCCGCGUGGAUACCGCAGCUAGG